CACACCACACCUCUUCUGCGCACAAAUGCAGCAUUACGAGCACGCCUCUCAGAGCGGGGGGGUGGUGAGGGUGUGAUAGAUUUGGGGAGUGCGGGCCCCGGCAACAGGAACCUCCCUUCGAUCAGGCCAUCUGCCUGCGCUUGGGUGCCACCACACGCCUCAGGGACAGCACUGCCCCUACAGGGUAGGGGUGCGGGGAUGAAGCCACUCAAAAUGCCCCGUCAGCUGAACGCUGUGUUCACCAGAGAGUAGUGGGAUACGAUGCGAUUGAGUCUCUGCACAGAUUCAUCUAACAUGGCUGCCACAGGCUGUGCUUUGGGAGUGUGUGUGUGUGUAUGUGUGUGUGUGCGCACACUGAAAAAACUUGUGCACUAAAAUCCGUGCAGCUUCUACUUUCGGGCCGGGCGGUUCUGUUUCUCUCCCGGACUGGUCUCGGCGCUGGCGGAGAAUCUGGAGGACCCGAGGCCAGGCUCCACACGUGCUCUCGGCUGUUAAGGCACUGCAGGCAAAGCAAUAACCUCCACAAAAUGGCCACAAGUAAAAUAACUCAAAUGAUUGUGAAUUUCCUCUCUGAAUUGUCUGAGCCAUACAAUGCAAAGGGCACACCGGCUCUGGAAUGAGGAAGAACCUGACCAAUGAAAUGCUUUGUUAAAACGUCACAUCUCGCCACACAUUUUUCACCAAUUGCAUUUUAUUUUUAGGGGAAACUGGUUAACUAUACAUGCAUAAUAUGUUGCAUUGCAUACAUCUGGUGCAUCUUUAUAUGUGCUUUUCAAAUUCUCUCCAGGGUAUCUCCGAUUUCACACUGGGCUCAUUUCAUUGUCUCUGCUCUACAAUAUCUGGGCUGUUUGCGCCCCAUCCAUUUCGAGCGUCUAACCUUGCUGUGUAUCCUGUUAUGGUGCACUACAGAGGGCUCAUCUGAGGACACAGUUUUGGUUUCAAGUUGUAAGCCAAUGCUUCACAGCCUGUACCAGCAAGAUGGCCCUCUUGCUCUCGAGGACUGGCUCACAUUAAUCCAUGCUCUUUUGCUUGCUAUGACAGCGCAGCUCAAUGUUUAAAUGAUUCCAACAAGCUAAAUGUAUUUUAUAAGCACAACCAUACAAACAGCAUAGCAAUUAUGAAUAAGGCAGGGGGCAUUGAUGUGUGGAUAAAAACAACAUAGUCCAAUAAUAAAUACAAUAGGAAAGUGCAGAAUUCAUACAUGUGAGUUAGAACAUGUCUAUAGGUGCACACAGAUUUUUAUGUGACAAGAAAAUCUUCCUGCGACGGCAGUCAUUGCAUAAGGCAGAAGAGUGGACAUAUUGUUAACUGGUAAAACCAUGUGAAUUCUAAACUGACUUUGAAUCCUCUAAAUAGACAUAGCAAAAGAAAUCUGAUGUAAGAGAAAGAAAUAGGCUCGCCCGAGAGAUAUGGGGUUGAUAGAGAGCCCCUGUUCCUUGUUCCCGUCUGUCCAUGUCAGUUCAUUCUUAUGGAAGCUCAGAUAUAAAACAAAAUGGCUACCCUCAUCAUGUGUCAGGCACGCACUGCAUAAGCACAUACUGCAUAACCAUGUAUUUAUGCUAUAAAACAUGCAAACCCAUUAUGAAUUAAAUUGCAUUCUAUGCCCAGAUUUCUAUCAUUUGUUGUUUUGCUUUUUUACUUAUCAUAUGAAGAUAUUGUGAAAUACAUUAAGGUGCACUAUAACAGUAACUAUGAAUAUUGGGAAAUAAUAAUAGUUUCUGUGUUAGGGGCACUGACUGUAAUAAAAGUGGUAGACUGUUCAAAGAGUGGCGUUUGACAUAUAUUAGAUUAUAUGCACAUAGUACUGUGUAAAAGUACUGUACAUACUUCAGCCUUUGUUUGUCACAAAACACCGGUCUAUACAGUUAUAUGGGUCAAUUGGAAAUAUACAGAAAUAUACAUUUCAUAGUGUCCAGCACUUUUUUGUAAAUAGUAAAGUAUUCCAAUGAGACAUGUAUGUCCUGUGAAAGACACAAAGUAUCAAAGUAACAAACCACACUGCAGACUUCAAAACUAAAGGCCAUCAACUCUGGAGUGCCAGAAGCCAAUGAUGAGAACAGAGAGGAGAGAGAAUGGAGCCAGUCGAACCUGACCAAGGAGCUGUGAGAACUGUGGUGGAGAAACAUCUAAAGGGAGAACUCCUGACCAAACCCCUGGAUGAGGGGGAACUCUAGGGGGAUCUCCCUUAACCGAAUAUCAUGACCUGGUAAAGGGAAGAAUCCAUUUGAACAUAAUUUUAAAUAGGAAAUAAAAUAAGAAAUACAUUACAAUGUUGACUUGUGCGGCGCAUCGAGGAUAUGACCAAUGGGCAUCCCAAAUCUUUAUUACAAUUUCUGUCUGUUUCAUAUUUUUAGAUCAGUCUUACCAUUGCCACUGAUUUUAUAUUUCUUAACCAAAGGUCUUAUAAAAGUCUAAAU
Molecule: long non-coding RNA, 2417 nt
Organism: Alosa sapidissima (American shad)
Lineage: Eukaryota; Metazoa; Chordata; Actinopteri; Clupeiformes; Clupeidae
Exons: 3
Source: RefSeq, a predicted model, not a curated record